AGGAAAUCCACAGAGAGGCUACAAAGGUCCUUUUCUACGUCCUAGCUGCACUUCUGGCGGUAGUGGUUGUCAUUUUCAUCAUCGUGCUGUACAGAUGCAGGCGUCGUCCCUGCCAGAGCUAUACAGGACCCAGGGCUGUACAGCUUGAACUCACAGGUGAGUGUACCUGUGGGGAGAGGCCGGUUGGCUGAGUGGUCGUGACCUUUCACACCUCCGGUGGGCAGUUUUCCAUACUUGAUGAUUCCAGAGUUGCAGAAACCCUGUCCUGUGGCAGAAGCUCUUGGACCGUGCAUAGCAGACAGCCUGUCAUAGGUCCCUGGGUCCCUCCUGCCUCUGCUCUGCAGAACCCAUAGACUGUGACUCUGGCAGUCCAGAGUCCCUUGGUGGAGGUGUACACUCUGUAAUUGGAAGGACAGUCGCAGGUGGAUUCCGCAAUCUCCAGAGGUGUGGAUUCACAUCCUGAUUUUAGAAAAACACCUCAGAGGUUUUGGUUGACCACUAAGAGAUACAUAUCCCUGGCUCUAAGUAUUUUUACUACCUCAAAGUGACUGCACCUUCCUGAACCCGGCUUUUCCACGGUAGAGAUGUCGGUAUGUGUGGUCCCCUCGGUGCGUUGGGGCCUGUUGGCUGACACCCACCACCCCCCACUCCCUUUGAAGCCUGAAUUCUGGGCCACCUCGUCCUUACCCAGUCAUGAGGCUGUACUAGCCAGCUGUUUCUAGUUAUCAGCCUGAGUCCCGGGAAGAAUCAUUUCAUUGUCUCCAAAAUUAAAACUUUGCAUGGUUCCAGUAGAGUGAGCUUACCAGGCAGGCACGAGGAAGCAGGGCCUGCCUUCAUCUUUCUCUCUCUUCCUUCCAAGACCAUUCCUGACAGAACUCUGCCCAGGAUGUGGACAGGGUUUCUAAUGGACUCCCGCAGGCCUGGUGACAGAGGACAAUGAGCUGUCUGCUUACGUGCUGUGAUGAAGGCCAGGAAUCCCUGGCUUUCCGAGGCUUGAUCCCAGAAACCCCCGAGGGAGAUCUCUUCCAGUGGGCGGUGUCAUCAGACUGUGGAGCCUCCCGUGAGCACAGAGAGGAAGCAGCUUGUGAGAAGAUCCUUCUCCUGCCAGAUACUCAGUCCCAGGAUCUUUGAAAGAGGGCAUUUGAGCCACUCCGAAAGCACCUACAAAAUCUACUGGAGACUGUUUCCCUGCAGGACCUUCCGUGAGGGAGGA
Molecule: long non-coding RNA, 1213 nt
Filed under: Rattus norvegicus (Norway rat)
Lineage: Eukaryota; Metazoa; Chordata; Mammalia; Rodentia; Muridae
Description: long non-coding RNA NONRATT017657
Source: RNAcentral